GCGGGGGUGCCUGAGUCAGGAAAAAGGGCACGGUUGAGGGCCGUGUGGCUAAGUGCCUACGAGGGUUCAAAUCCCUUCCUCCGCA
RNAcentral lists this transfer RNA (85 nucleotides) under Nanobdellati archaeon. RNAcentral describes it as "tRNA-Leu". It matches the Rfam family "tRNA". From Rfam's summary of the family: Transfer RNA (tRNA) molecules are approximately 80 nucleotides in length. Their secondary structure includes four short double-helical elements and three loops (D, anti-codon, and T loops). Lineage: Archaea; Nanobdellati. The record is from RNAcentral.